CGGGUGCCACACGUGGAGCAGAAUCCGCUUACCCUUCCGGAGCACAUGAGAUCCAUCCUAGUUUUUGGUGGGGUUCGUGUUGCGUAUUCUUUAGUUUUCUAUGUUGUAUCAUGUGUACUAUUGUUUGUCUGUUUUUUUUUUCUUCUUUUUAGCCAUGACUUUGUCAGUUUAUUUUCGAUUCAUGAGUUUGACUGUCCCUCUGGUAUCUUUCGUCCCUUUUUUAAACAUACCCAUAAGGCAAUCCAUGUCUACGUUACAGACAGUCAAACAUUCCCAACAGGUAAUUCAUGUUUACGUUACAGACAGUCAAAAAUACCAAACAGGUAAUGC
Molecule: long non-coding RNA, 330 nt
Filed under: Mytilus galloprovincialis (Mediterranean mussel)
Lineage: Eukaryota; Metazoa; Mollusca; Bivalvia; Mytilida; Mytilidae
Source: RNAcentral